UACGGAGGGGGCUAGCGUUGUUCGGAAUUACUGGGCGUAAAGCGCACGUAGGCGGCUUUGUAAGUUAGAGGUGAAAGCCCGGGGCUCAACUCCGGAAUUGCCUUUAAGACUGCAUCGCUAGAAUUGUGGAGAGGUAAGUGGAAAUUCCGAGUGUAGAGGUGAAAUUCGUAGAUAUUCGGAAGAACACCAGUGGCGAAGGCGACUUACUGGACACAUAUUGACGCUGAGGUGCGAAAGCGUGGGGAGCAAACAGG
RNAcentral lists this ribosomal RNA (254 nucleotides) under uncultured bacterium. RNAcentral's name for it is "partial 16S ribosomal RNA". It matches the Rfam family "Bacterial small subunit ribosomal RNA", at positions 524 to 776 of the family's 1533-position model. The record is from RNAcentral.